GCAGUAGACUUCCCUGGAACUCAGAUAUGACUUCAUCAAAAAGACGGCUUAACUGUUAACAUAUCUCCCAGCUUGCUCCGUCAUUAGACCUCUGCUACCCUGCCAGAUGUCAGAAAGCAGAGGGCUGCCAGGAAGAGACAGCUGCAUCCUGUCUUUAGAAGUGGAGAAAUCUAGAGAAGAAGGUUAUAUACUGUUUCUGGUCCCUCAGUAAAUCAAGGCGCUGCUUCUAUAUUUCAAUGCAUGUCCGUGUGUCUUGUGUGUCUUUGUACUGCUUUAAGAUGGCUUUCUGUAGAAGAGAUGGCUCUUAGGGAUGGGAUACUACCCAUUACACACAAGACAAGUCUCAAAGGAAAUUGCACCUAUCUUUAGAAGCUGGCUGCAGCAUCUGCCUGAGAGACUUGUCUCAGGAGAACUGAGUUUGAAUGUUGCUUAGAUUGAGGGAAUCAGUGUCUCAGCAGAUGCUUGUUUUCAUCACAGAACAGACAAACUUGCCAUUUGGGUUGCAAAUCCUGGGAAGGAGGGACUUCUGCAGAGAGGGUGCUGUAGGUCAGGGACAGCCAAAUGUUCUUUGGGGCCAGAUGAGUCCAUCAAAGCAGAAUUCUCUGGUCUCCAGCAACGUGGUUCAGCUGACAGCCUAACCAAAUUGCAGGUAGGAGCAGGAAACGCAGACUCAGCUUAGGUUUAGUGCAGUGCUUUUUAGGGCACUGCAUAACCAUAUGCAUGUGAGGUAUCAUUCCAGAUUCUGGCCCCAGCUCAAGACAUCUGGAUCAGUCCCUUCCCCUAGCAAGUGUUCCUCUUGCUCCCUUCCCAGCCCACUUAUAAAAUUUCGGCUAAACAGGUAAUAGCAUCAUGGGGCUGUGAUCCCAGGAGGGAUCCCCAAGUGCUGUGUACACACACAACACAGUAGGAGAACUGUGCUGGUAAGAAACACAGAAGGAAUGGAGGAAGCAGAGGGCUGUGGGAAUCUCUCCAAGGUCUCUUAAUUCUCAGCCCAGCAUUCACUCCGGAGGAUUAUACUAUUGCUUAGUUCAGUCCCAUCCAUUUAAUUCAGGUUUCUCAGACCAGCAUAAGGGCCAUGUGUGUGUCUGUCUCAGCACGUUGUCUCUCAUUUCACCUCGGGGAUGUAUCUGCCAUGUCCACCAGUUGCAUGUGACUUGUUCUGUAUGUUCUCUCCAGGAAGAAAAAUCAACUAAAGUUUGAAAGAAAUGGUUACUUAAAUUUAGGGAAUUUUUCACACUUGUGCGUUGAGAUCACUUUUGACAUAGUUGUAACUUACUCCUUUCUAGAGAGGUUUAGCAGUCCAAAGUCCCUUUUCACUCCUGAUCUAAAGCAGAGUGAGCUGCUGUGGAUACACUUGCAGGGGCUGGAGGCACUUCAAGGAACAUAUUGUAGACAUUUUCCUUUCUCUUACUUUUUUAAUUUAAGGGGAGCCAAAUGAUAAAAGCCUAAUGUUAGUGCAUUACUUUCUUGCAUUAAGAUCUCCCAGUGGCAGGCAGUUUCCUGAACCAAGGCCUAGAAUCUUGACCCACUUCUGCUUUGUGCCUGUGCAGUCAGAUGCAGGGCAUGACAUCUCCAGACUCCCGGGAAGGAAUUUCAGCUCCCUCUGAGGUGGUGUGGGACACAUCGAGCAUGAUGCAAGGUCCCUGGCUGCUCUGGGGACAGCAGAUCUCUGUGACUGUUCUACUACAUGGACCUGUCCCAGGCAACCUGGAGAGGACAAGGGAAACUGGUCUACGUAGGCAAGAGCCUUCAGCCUGGCCCUUCCUGUUAUUGUCCCGCCACACAUCACGCCUGUUCCUGGAGAACCUCCCAAAACGCUGCUGAGCGCUACAGAGCUAUGUUCAGGGCUUUUUUCCACCAGUAUGAGCCAGUGGGAUUGCUGUGGUGUCACUGGGGCACAGCACAGCCAGAAGAGAGUUGCUGCAGCAUUUCACUUUCCCACAGUAUCCACUUCCCAGCUGCUGUGAAACUCCCAAGGCAGGACCAUCUCUCUGAGCCUGUCUGAGGCCUGCUCACGAAUUUUCAACAGAUAGAUAGAUGAGAAAAAGUUGAAACAACAAAUGCUCAUUCCCCUGUGAGCAUAAGGAGA
Dromaius novaehollandiae (emu) is the source of this 2089-nucleotide RNA transcript. RefSeq lists it as uncharacterized. The transcript has 3 exons. The record is from RefSeq and is a predicted model, not a curated record. Lineage: Eukaryota; Metazoa; Chordata; Aves; Casuariiformes; Dromaiidae.